CCCAAUUCCACCCUUGACAGCUGGGUGACCCCGGGUAAAUCAAAAAGUUCUCUGCUUUAGGUUUUUGAUCCCCCUUGGUAAAAUGGGGCUUUUUGAGAUGGACUCAUGGUAAUAUAUGCAUAUAUAUAAACUGUAAACGCCUGCUGUGUAAACUGUAAAGCCCUGUACAUGUAUUUGUUAUUAUGAUCCUGUUAUAAACUGUCUCCUGCUUAACUUUACUCAGAGUGUGUCACUGGGCAGCAGUCUCAAUGAAGCUCUCUUGCUGCACUUUGCAAGUUGAGACAAGUCCCAUAUGGUUUCUAUCAGUGCGUCUUCUCUGGAGACAUUGCCAUGACUGGCAGCUCUGCCAAACUGACUGACUCUGUCGGGAAGGGCCAAUAAGGGUGACCUUUGGUUGUCCUGAGAGUCCUGCGCCUCUGUAUUUCUGAGGAAACUCCCUCUGCCCUCCUAUUCCUCUGGCUUUCCUUUCUCUGAGCUUCCCUUCCCUCCUCUGGCGCUGGCCUCUGUCCAAGGCCCUGGGCUGGAGGUGGAACCACUCUGCUGCAACCUCUCCGUCCAGGGCGUUUUCAAGCCAGGGGACUCUUGAGCAGCUGAGAAGCCAGAAGGGAAGCAGUCCACAGAGAAGGAGUAUAAGGUGCUGGAGAGAACUGUCCGCUGAUGGCUUGGAGCCCAGGGAAGAACACAGAUUCAUAAUCUGAGGAAGAGGGAUGCACUUUGAAAAGAAGAUGAAAACCCUGUCUGCUGAGGGAUGCUGGUGGGAAGGAGGAGGGUGUGGGUGAAGAUAAGGAUACCUUAAGGAGGCGGAGAGGGGCGUGUGAAAAUAACCGCCAUCAUUGACCAUCUACCUUCUGGCCAUUGUAUCCUCACCAUCACACGAACCCUCCUGGGUGGAUUUCUAGUCGAUUGUUGCUGUUUAACAGGUGAAGACAUUUAGCCUGAAAUGGGUUUAGUAACUUCCCCACAGUCACGUGGAUAGUAAAGGACAGAGCUGAGAUUGGAUCCAGGUCUUUCUGGCACCAAGGCUGUAUUCUUUUGGCUCCACCAUGUUGGGUUAGAGAUUGGGAAAAUUAGGGGAGUUUUUACUGGAUGAUUCAUUUAUUGUUGGUGCAAUAGGUGUUGAAAUGAAAACCCACGGCUUUGAGGGGUCAGGGCACAGGUUCAUUUAAGUGGGACGAGGAGUUAGAGUUUCCCUUUUCUGGAUUAUUGUCAGACCUUUAGCAUUAACUGUGUAACUUCCUGUCUUGAGCUUUCUUCCAUUUUCUUAUUUAUAAAAUAAAGGAUUGGGUUUGCUGGACUCUGGGUUUCUAAGUACUUAGAAAAUGCCAUGAUUUGAAG
This 1335-nucleotide long non-coding RNA is filed under the name Equus caballus (horse). Its description in RNAcentral is "lncRNA (ENSECAG00000059971.1)". Lineage: Eukaryota; Metazoa; Chordata; Mammalia; Perissodactyla; Equidae. The record is from RNAcentral.